AUUGAACGCUGGCGGCAUGCCUUACACAUGCAAGUCGAACGGCAGCACGGGAGCAAUCCUGGUGGCGAGUGGCGAACGGGUGAGUAAUAUAUCGGAACGUGCCCAGUCGUGGGGGAUAACGUAGCGAAAGCUACGCUAAUACCGCAUACGAUCGAUGGAUGAAAGCGGGGGAUCGCAAGACCUCGCGCGAUUGGAGCGGCCGAUAUCAGAUUAGUUAGUUGGUGAGGUAAAGGCUCACCAAGCCGACGAUCUGUAGCUGGUCUGAGAGGACGACCAGCCACACUGGGACUGAGACACGGCCCAGACUCCUACGGGAGGCAGCAGUGGGGAAUUUUGGACAAUGGGCGCAAGCCUGAUCCAGCAAUGCCGCGUGCAGGAUGGAGGCCUUCGGGUUGUAAACUGCUUUUGUACGGAACGAAACGGCGAGCUCUAAUACAGUUUGCUAAUGACGGUACCGUAAGAAUAAGCACCGGCUAACUACGUGCCAGCAGCCGCCGUAA
RNAcentral lists this ribosomal RNA (500 nucleotides) under uncultured bacterium. RNAcentral's name for it is "partial 16S ribosomal RNA". It matches the Rfam family "Bacterial small subunit ribosomal RNA", at positions 30 to 523 of the family's 1533-position model. The record is from RNAcentral.